RNAcentral lists this small RNA (471 nucleotides) under Oryza sativa Japonica Group (Japanese rice). Its description in RNAcentral is "sRNA Os04g0502850". The record is from RNAcentral. Lineage: Eukaryota; Viridiplantae; Streptophyta; Magnoliopsida; Poales; Poaceae.
GUCAUUUUUAUUGGUAUUGCCAGUGGAGAAAGGAGCAAAAGUAUCAUUAUACCAAACAAAAGGUAGGUAAUAGCGUCACUUAGUUUUAAAGUAUCACCGAGAAUUGUAGCUACCAUAAGAUAUACACCGAGAACCACACUAGAGAUCUGUGUGAACAUGAAAUGACUGUGCUCUGCUGCGUUGUCCUCAUCCAGUGAUGGAGUGCAAGGCCUAACAAAAUACAUCACCAGAACACAUGCGGUGGGGAUCCCCAAAGCAAGCAACAGCAAAAGGUUUGUGGGAGAGUUCUGAAGCAUUCCAUUAAAUGUUUCUGUGUAGACAGCAGCACUCACAGCAACAUAGCCCUUGAUCAGACCAGCAACAGUUCCCCGGCUGAGAGGAAAGUUCCUCAUAUUGGUCACAAGUGCAGCGGUGCCCAACCAUGCGCUGCUGUUUGUGCCAAUACAUAAGGCUAUGCACAACUGCAAGAGG